GACGAACGCUGGCGGCGUGCCUAAUACAUGCAAGUAGAACGCACAGUUUAUACCGUAGCUUGCUCCACCAUAGACUGUGAGUUGCGAACGGGUGAGUAACGCGUAGGUAACCUGCCUGGUAGCGGGUGAUAACUAUUGGAAACGAUAGCUAAUACCGCAUAAUAUUAAUUAUUGCAUGAUAAUUAAUUGAAAGGUGCAAUUGCACCACUACCAGAUGGACCUGCGUUGUAUUAGCUAGUAGGUGAGGUAACGGCUCACCUAGGCGACGAUACAUAGCCGACCAGAGAGGGUGAUCGGCCACACUGGGACUGGGACACGGCCCAGACUCCUGCGGGAGGCAGCAGUAGGGAAUCUUCGGCAAUGGACGAAAGUCUGACCGAGCAACGCCGCGUGAGUGAAGAAGGUUUUCGGAUCGUAAAGCUCUGUUGUAAGAGAAGAACGGGUGUGAGAGUGGAAAGUUCACACUGUGACGGUAUCUUACCAGAAAGGGACGGCUAACUACGUG
This 505-nucleotide ribosomal RNA is filed under the name uncultured bacterium. Its description in RNAcentral is "partial 16S ribosomal RNA". It matches the Rfam family "Bacterial small subunit ribosomal RNA", at positions 28 to 507 of the family's 1533-position model. The record is from RNAcentral.